This is a long non-coding RNA of Carcharodon carcharias (great white shark), 460 nucleotides long. RefSeq lists it as uncharacterized. The record is from RefSeq and is a predicted model, not a curated record. NCBI's taxonomy places the organism in Eukaryota, Metazoa, Chordata, Chondrichthyes, Lamniformes, Lamnidae. The transcript has 3 exons.
GUUCAAUUUACAUGAAGCGAUUUUUGGCGCUUGAAAGAUUUGAUAAGAUGUUAGUGCAUUCAAGCUUGCAGUCCACAUUGAUGUCAACGACAGCUGAGCUAUCCAGAGUGUCAGUCAGAUGUCAAAAACACUCAAAAUCCAUUGAAUGAUCUAGAAGCCUGGGAAUCACACUCUAGCUGCCUGCAAGCAAGACGAAGAUGGCCCUGAAGGUCGAUACCAGCAAGAUGAUUGACACAUCCAGGGCACUCUCCUGACAAGGCUGUCUUGUCAAAAAUCACCUCAUAAAAGAUUUGAACCUUACUGAAUACCAUCCCAGGGUUAGCAAUGACACCUAGUCGCAAAAAUGCUGCUGCCUACAGGAGAACGUUGUAUCCAACCCUCAGUAAGGGAAAGGGACCUGGUGAAGAAGAUGAGAAUACCUAGUUGAGGAAUUGAGUCUUACCCGGGCUCAAUUGUUGAG